RNAcentral lists this ribosomal RNA (442 nucleotides) under Streptococcus sanguinis. Its description in RNAcentral is "bacterial SSU rRNA". It matches the Rfam family "Bacterial small subunit ribosomal RNA", at positions 28 to 457 of the family's 1533-position model. The record is from RNAcentral. Lineage: Bacteria; Bacillati; Bacillota; Bacilli; Lactobacillales; Streptococcaceae.
GACGAACGCUGGCGGCGUGCCUAAUACAUGCAAGUAGAACGCUGAAGAGAGGAGCUUGCUCUUCUUGGAUGAGUUGCGAACGGGUGAGUAACGCGUAGGUAACCUGCCUGGUAGCGGGGGAUAACUAUUGGAAACGAUAGCUAAUACCGCAUAAAAUUGAUUAUUGCAUGAUAAUUAAUUGAAAGAUGCAAUUGCAUCACUACCAGAUGGACCUGCGUUGUAUUAGCUAGUUGGUGAGGUAACGGCUCACCAAGGCGACGAUACAUAGCCGACCUGAGAGGGUGAUCGGCCACACUGGGACUGAGACACGGCCCAGACUCCUACGGGAGGCAGCAGUAGGGAAUCUUCGGCAAUGGGGGGAACCCUGACCGAGCAACGCCGCGUGAGUGAAGAAAGGUUUUUCGGAUCGUAAAAGCUUCUGUUGUAAAGAGAAAGAAACGGG